UAAUACGUAGGGUGCGAGCGUUAAUCGGAAUUACUGGGCGUAAAGCGUGCGCAGGCGGUUCGCUAAGACCGAUGUGAAAUCCCCGGGCUUAACCUGGGAACUGCAUUGGUGACUGGCGGGCUAGAGUAUGGCAGAGGGGGGUAGAAUUCCACGUGUAGCAGUGAAAUGCGUAGAGAUGUGGAGGAAUACCGAUGGCGAAGGCAGCCCCCUGGGCCAAUACUGACGCUCAUGCACGAAAGCGUGGGGAGCAAACAGGAUUAGAUACCCUGGUAGUCCACGCCCUAAACGAUGUCAACUAGUUGUUGGGGAUUCAUUUCCUUAGUAACGAAGCUAACGCGUGAAGUUGACCGCCUGGGGAGUACGGUCGCAAGAUU
RNAcentral lists this ribosomal RNA (374 nucleotides) under uncultured bacterium. RNAcentral describes it as "bacterial SSU rRNA". It matches the Rfam family "Bacterial small subunit ribosomal RNA", at positions 521 to 895 of the family's 1533-position model. The record is from RNAcentral.